GGGGAAUCAUCUUUCUUCUUCUUCUUCUUCUUCUCUCUCGCUCUCUCUCUCUCUCUCUCUCUGCUCCAGCUGAACUCUCUUCAGGCUCCCAUCAUGGCCUCCCUCCACCGAAGAAGGAAAAAAAGAAGGCGGAAGGAUAUAAAAGUGAGUCCGCAUGCGACGCUCCCCCUUCUGUCAAAGUGAUCACGUGUUGCUGUAAUUAGGGAAGUUUCCAACAUAUAAUGUCACUUUUUUGUGGUUUUAAACUGUCAUUUCAAGGCUGGA
This is a long non-coding RNA of Sebastes umbrosus (honeycomb rockfish), 264 nucleotides long. RefSeq lists it as uncharacterized. NCBI's taxonomy places the organism in Eukaryota, Metazoa, Chordata, Actinopteri, Perciformes, Sebastidae. The transcript is spliced from 2 exons. The record is from RefSeq and is a predicted model, not a curated record.